GUAAAGGCAAAAGAGAGCUUGAUUGCAAGACAUACAGGUCGAGCAAGGAUGAAAAUCGGACUUAGUGAUCCGGUGGUUCUGCGUGGAAGGGCCAUCGCUCAACGGAUAACAGCUACCCUGGGGAUAACAGGCUUAUCUCCCCCAAGAGUCCACAUCGACGGGGAGGUUUGGCACCUCGAUGUCGGCUCAUCACAUCCUGGGGCUGUAGUAGGUCCCAGGGUUGUGCUGUUCGCCCAUUAA
This 240-nucleotide ribosomal RNA is filed under the name Clostridioides difficile. Its description in RNAcentral is "partial 23S ribosomal RNA". It matches the Rfam family "Bacterial large subunit ribosomal RNA", at positions 2351 to 2591 of the family's 2925-position model. The record is from RNAcentral. Lineage: Bacteria; Bacillati; Bacillota; Clostridia; Peptostreptococcales; Peptostreptococcaceae.